RNAcentral lists this ribosomal RNA (301 nucleotides) under uncultured bacterium. RNAcentral describes it as "partial 16S ribosomal RNA". It matches the Rfam family "Bacterial small subunit ribosomal RNA", at positions 509 to 807 of the family's 1533-position model. The record is from RNAcentral.
CAGUCGCCACGGGAAUACGUAGGGUGCAAGCGUUGUCCGGAAUUAUUGGGCGUAAAGAGCUCGUAGGCGGUUUGUCGCGUCUGCUGUGAAAUCCCGAGGCUCAACCUCGGGCUUGCAGUGGGUACGGGCAGACUAGAGUGCGGUAGGGGAGAUUGGAAUUCCUGGUGUAGCGGUGGAAUGCGCAGAUAUCAGGAGGAACACCGAUGGCGAAGGCAGAUCUCUGGGCCGUAACUGACGCUGAGGAGCGAAAGCGUGGGGAGCGAACAGGAUUAGAGACCCCGGUAGUCCCUGUCUCUUAUAC